Long non-coding RNA from Magnolia sinica, 3074 nucleotides. RefSeq lists it as uncharacterized. The transcript is spliced from 4 exons. Lineage: Eukaryota; Viridiplantae; Streptophyta; Magnoliopsida; Magnoliales; Magnoliaceae. The record is from RefSeq and is a predicted model, not a curated record.
AGCCGUUUCUGAUUUGAAACGGUAGUAAACCGUACUAGAGUCAUUGUGUUAUACGUUGUUCUUUCCACGGUUUUGUUGGUGUGUCCCAAUUGAGUGUUGGAUCUUCGUAUUUCUUCUUAUUGUGUUUUAUUGUUUUAUUUUGAAACAGAUGGACGGAAUGGAUUCGAUUAAAAACCUCUGAGUGGACCCCACAAGCCCAAGAUGCACAUUGCUCUAUAUGCGCCGCAGACUACUGAUGGGUUUUAACCCUUUUCUUGCUCCAGAAGCCCUAAAAUCCCUCUAUUCGUCUCCGUCUCCGUCUCCCUCUCUCAAUCUCCCUCUCACUCUCCCUCUCUCAAUCUCCCUCUCUUUCGAUCUUCCGAUCUCAACCCUCUCACUCUCCCUCCCUCUCUCUCGAUCCCCCUCUCCCUCAAAUCUCCCUCUCUUUCGAUCUCCCUCUCCCAAUCUCAACCCUCUCUCUUGAUCUCCCUCUCCCGAUCUCAACCUUUCAAUCAGAUUUAGUAGUCCGUUUUGCUAAACAUAUUUGCAAUAAAAUCUUAGGCUGUAUUUGAAAUUACUACAUCAGCAUUGAGUGGAAUGGCCAUUGGUCCAUUGGCCAUUGUCUUAUUCUUCUAUUUGAAGAAAUGAGACCACUGUCAAUCUAGACCUGGUUUGAUCGGUGCUCUCUAUCAUACUCAAUGCAGAAUGGGGUUUCUAGACUUUCCAAACGAAGCACCAUUUUCAAUUGAAAGUGGCCGCAAAUGCCUUUUGCACCCUCUAGCAAACUGUUUAUUAAUUAUCAUUGCAUUUGUUUUCCCAAAACCAUAAGUAUGCCAUGAGAUCAUUUUAGUUAUUAAGCUAUAUUUGUGUGUUGGUUUUGUAGGCAGGGUUGGUACACCCUGAUAAAAAUCCUGGAGAUCCCAAGGCUGCUCAUAAUUUUCAGAAACUUGCAGUUCCUCAGCCUCAAUCUGAGUCACAUACACAAAUUCAGUCUGCCCAAUAAAUUGUAACCAUCUUUUGAGAUGGUUGGCUCAGUUGUUUUUUGUUGCAUUGAAUGGUUGGUGUAGACAACACAUCGUGGUCCAAGAUGAAGUCCUAGCCAAUAGGUUGGGCCUUAUUCCCAUCAAGGCUGACCCAAGGUUGUUUGAAUAUGUUUCAGGUUGACAGUUCGUUGACUUUUUUUUUUUUUGCUUUCAUUAAUUUGAAUUGGGCUUAUUUGUACAUUGAUUUUUUUUGUACGUAUGUAUUCGGUACUUCUUCAAGGUCUUUCUUCAAGGGAUUUGAUAUGUGGAAGGAAGAAACUGUAUUGAAGGAGCACGAAUGUUGACCAUGAACAAAGCCUUUUAACUAAGCUGAAGCAACAAUGGGGUGGCCAACUUAUGUUGUAGAUGGAAGGAAUGGUCUGUCAUAUACUAACUACUUGCCUGAGCUAGUUGCAUGCGUGCGUGUGUUUUCUUCUUCUUUCUCAAGGGAUUUCUUGGUGUUGGUCUUUCAUGUUUUUCUGGCAAUGCAGGUUACUGAUUUUCCAUUAGCAAGGGAGAAUCAGCAGAAUGUUUUGAAGCUCCAUGCCCAUUUCCAUCUUUAUAUUGCUAACAGAAUUUGUCCUUUACCUUCACUGUGGUUUUAUUCAGGGUGAUGGUUUUCAUAUCUUUUCUUUUCUUUUUCAAACUAUUCAAUGUCUAUGUUUGUAGCUUGCUCAGCUCCAAGAUACAUACAUGUUGCAUCGUAUUUUAAUUAGACCAAACUAUUCAGGAUGAUGGUAUUUUAAUUAGACCAAGCUAUUUAUCUUGCAUCGUAUAUCUUGGGUCAUUAUUUUGUUCACGAUCAUUUUAGUGAAAGCUUCAUUUCGGUUAAAACACCUGAUAUGUUAUUGGAUCAACAAUAAUUCAAUGCUUGGACUUGAAUUGGUUAUUUUUAUUACUAUUCAGGUUGUAUUUUGAACUUAUUAUUUAAUAUGCACUCUGCUGCAAGGUAACAAUUGGAUCUCUAGCUAUCAAGCCUCCUCUCACUGAAAUAUAUGAACUCAAUGCUGAUUGGCAAAGGGCAGCAGCAGGUCUUCUUGUUUCGAUUGGUUCACAUUUGCCUGAUCUGGUAAGCUUUUCUAAUGUCAUGCAUUGAAUGAUGGCCUUAGUUUCUUAUUUGAGGGCCAAUGACAAGUUGGUGGUUUUGUAUUAGUAGGAAAUGCUGCAUACAGAAAAAGAGUGACAGGAAAGUAUGAGUUUCAUGAGAGAGAUAUAUGUUUGCAAUACCUCAAGUUUUCUAGAAAUAAGUCAAAUGAAAUUAAUUAUAAGAAAAAUGUCACCAGUAGAUCGCUUCUAUGAUACCUUAGAAGGGCCUGAAUUCGAUACUCUCAGGGUACGUGAACUUUUUCUUUUUUCUUCUUCUUUUUUUUUUUUUUUUGCUGCUGCUGUUGUUGUGCAUUCAGUCUCUUAAGACUUGACCAGGUUGUUGGUGGUCUUCAAUGAUUAUACUUUUAAUUCAUGUAUGCCUGGGUGUGUCAAUGAUGGGAAAGCCUUGACUAUCAGAUGCCGUACUCACACCUGUUCACACAUUGGUAAAAUUGUGAGAUUUUUUAAUUAUUUUUUUGGUUCGAGCUGCACUACUGGUUUCCAUUCUGCUAUUUUUUCUGUUUCUUCCAUUUCUUGAUUUAUUUUGUGGAAAGCAAGGUCUGAAGUUAUAUGAGAGUUUUUUGUUCUUUCUGAACUAGUUGCCUUACCGUCUGUCAGAUGACUUAAUUGGUUUACAGGUACCUCCUUAUUUUGUUUCGUAAUGCUCCAGUAGAAGUAUGGGCUAUGACAAAGAGUCCCGUGUUUAAUUGAUCACUUGUAAUAUUACCGCAAAUCACAGGGAGUGUGCUUGGGGACAUGAUUUUCUCAUGAUGGGCUCCGGCUUAUAUAUGAAUUCCCUGAGUUUGGAACUUUGGCUUGAUUCUUUGAUUUGGCUUGAAUUAGUUAGAGAUUGCUUGGAGGCGAGAUCUGCCUCCCUUUUUGCCUGUUUUUCAUAGCUGCGGCUGCCUUGUAUUCUUUUGUUGCAUGCCUUGAUCUCUUGGCAGUGGUUUAAUAAAAAUAUUAAUUCUUGUCAUCUCUCUCUCAAAA